This is a long non-coding RNA of Brassica napus (rape), 1067 nucleotides long. RefSeq lists it as uncharacterized. The transcript is spliced from 4 exons. Lineage: Eukaryota; Viridiplantae; Streptophyta; Magnoliopsida; Brassicales; Brassicaceae. The record is from RefSeq and is a predicted model, not a curated record.
CAACGGUUACAACCCACAAUUUUUCUUUCCUCAUCCACGAUCUUUCUUCCCAUAUGCACAAAUCUAGCAUAAAACUGAUGAGGAAUUGUACUUCAUCCUUCCUUGCUCUCCAUGUCUCUCUUGCAUCAUUUUUCCUCUAUUUCCUCAAUUCUUAGUUGUUGCAGUUGAUAGAGGAAACAAAGCGAAGAUGUCAUUGGAUUAUACCCAUCUUUCUCAACUGAUUCUUUCUAAAAAAGAAUGGAAGAAAAGCUAGAAAGUUGUUGGAUAUUCAACUUAUAAUUUCCAGGUGUGGUUUCUGAUAUUAGGAACAUUCAAUACGGAAGAAGAUUUGAGGAGAAACAGAGGAGAAUGAAACAAAAAAGUACAAAGGAAGCAGAAGCACCCGCAAGGUGAUUCAGUUAAAUAUGGAACUCUAGAGUUUCUUCACCAAAAGUAAGUCUCAACAUCUAUUUACCAUUUAAAAACUAUUCUUGGAUAUUGCUAUACAUUUUGGUAUGUGCUUAAUACUUUUAAGUCAUUAUUACAUCCUGUGAUCAUGUUGUGGUGGAUACAUAUAUAGUCUAUGCUCUGCAAGUAUAUGUGUUGCUAGGAUUCAUCUUCACUGGAGCCGGAAUUGAAAUAUACCAUAAGAAGGUGAUGUCUAACUUCAAAAAAGUGUUUGGAGUUGCCGUUGGAGACUCUUUGGUCUCUGAAUACAACAAAGACUAUCACGACGUCACUGAAGCCACUCCCAACAUCUUUGAGCAGUGUGAACCAUCUAACAACCCACUAGAAAGCUACCAAACCGGGUCUGAAACGGUCACUCUAACAAAACCGAGAGUCCAAAACUUUAUAUGCGGUGUUCCUGGUCCCUGCGACAUAGGACGGAAGCUAGUCUUACCGACCUCGUUGGAUCGCGGUGCAGCUCGCUUUCCUAGACCGGUCGGAUCACCAAACAGUACAAUAAAUAAUUUAUUUUUCAUCAGCAAAAUUUUGUGCUAAUAUGAUUGUAUUAUAAAAAACAAUGUUUGCUUGCUUGAUAGACUGAUAGUAAGCAAUAUAUAUUCGUAAUUGUUUUUUUUUUCUCA